Necator americanus (New World hookworm) is the source of this 82-nucleotide non-coding RNA. The record is from Rfam. NCBI's taxonomy places the organism in Eukaryota, Metazoa, Nematoda, Chromadorea, Rhabditida, Ancylostomatidae.
GGCGAGAUGGCCGAGCGGUCUAAGGCGCUUGUUUUAGGCACCAGUUCCUUCGGGGGCGUGGGUUCGAAUCCCACUCUCGUCA